GCCGCGGUAAUACGAAGGGACCUAGCGUAGUUCGGAAUUACUGGGCUUAAAGAGUUCGUAGGUGGUUGAAAAAGUUGGUGGUGAAAUCCCAGAGCUUAACUCUGGAACUGCCAUCAAAACUUUUCAGCUAGAGUAUGAUAGAGGAAAGCAGAAUUUCUAGUGUAGAGGUGAAAUUCGUAGAUAUUAGAAAGAAUACCAAUUGCGAAGGCAGCUUUCUGGAUCAUUACUGACGCUGAGGAACGAAAGCAUGGGUAGCGAAGAGGAUUAGAUACCCUCGUAGUCCAUGCCGUAAACGAUGUGUGUUAGACGUUGGAAAUUUAUUUUCAGUGUCGCAGCGAAAGCGAUAAACACACCGCCUGGGGAGUACGACCGCAAGGUUAAAACUCAAAUGAAUUGACGGGGACCCGCACAAGUAGUGGAGCAUGUGGUUUAAUUCGAAGAUACGCGCAGAACCUUACCAACACUUGACAUGUUCGUCGCGACUUUAAGAGAUUAAAGUUUUCGGUUCGGCCGGACGAAACACAGGUGCUGCAUGGCUGUCGUCAGCUCGUGUCGUGAGAUGUUGGGUUAAGUCCCGCAACGAGCGCAACCCUCACUUUUAGUUGCCAUCAUUAAGUUGGGCACUCUGAAAGAACUGCCAGUGAUAAGCUGGAGGAAGGUGGGGAUGACGUCAAGUCCUCAUGGCCCUUACGUGUUGGGCUACACACGUGCUACAAUGGUAUCUACACAGGAAGCAAGACUGCGAAGUUAAGCAAAUCCUUAAAAGAUACCUCAGUUCGGAUUGCACUCUGCAACUCGAGUGCAUGAAGCUGGAAUUACUAGUAAUCGUGGAUCAGCGUGCCACGGUGAAUGCGUUCCCGGGUCUUGUACACACCGCCCGUCACACCAUGGGAGUUGGUUCUACCUUAAGGCAAGGUUUCAAACCCUUGACCACGGUAUAGUCAGCGACUGGGGUGAAGUCGUAACAAGGUAGCCGUAGGGGAACCUGCGGCUG
This 994-nucleotide ribosomal RNA is filed under the name marine metagenome. RNAcentral's name for it is "bacterial SSU rRNA". It matches the Rfam family "Bacterial small subunit ribosomal RNA", at positions 514 to 1520 of the family's 1533-position model. The record is from RNAcentral.